GUGGGGAAUAUUGGACAAUGGGCGAAAGCCUGAUCCAGCCAUGCCGCGUGUGUGAAGAAGGUCUUCGGAUUGUAAAGCACUUUAAGUUGGGAGGAAGGGCAGUAAGUUAAUACCUUGCUGUUUUGACGUUACCGACAGAAUAAGCACCGGCUAACUUCGUGCCAGCAGCCGCGGUAAUACGAAGGGUGCAAGCGUUAAUCGGACUUACUGGGCGUAAAGCGCGCGUAGGUGGUUUUGUAAGUUGGAGGUGAAAUCCCCGGGCUCAACCUGGGAACUGCCUCCAAAACUGCAUGACUAGAGUACGGUAGAGAGUAGUGGAAUUUCCUGUGUAGCGGUGAAAUGCGUAGAUAUAGGAAGGAACACCAGUGGCGAAGGCGACUACCUGGACUGAUACUGACACUGAGGUGCGAAAGCGUGGGGAGCAAACAGGAUUAGAAACCCCUGUAGUCC
This 450-nucleotide ribosomal RNA is filed under the name uncultured bacterium. RNAcentral's name for it is "partial 16S ribosomal RNA". It matches the Rfam family "Bacterial small subunit ribosomal RNA", at positions 354 to 796 of the family's 1533-position model. The record is from RNAcentral.